UACGGGGACUAGUCCGGGUGGUUAGGCGUCACCUGUAACCUGAAACCGCCGAUAUGCGGGGGACGAACACCGGGGGCGGCUCUAGCGGCCUGCCCGAAUCCUUCGUUCCUGACUGAGAAGCCUUGUCCUAUGAGGUCGAUGGAGAAGAUCCCUUCGUUCCGGAGGGAACGGACAUCUUUUCGCUGUGGAGACCGGCCGAGGCCCGGAAGGGAGCAGGCUCACCGCGGACAUCCGGCGCCCAUGGGGGUGCGGGGUGGAGGAUGGGACGGAGGAGGACUGCAGGCACGUGGUGUCAACUCCGGAAGGUCCCCAUA
This 314-nucleotide signal recognition particle RNA is filed under the name Methanoculleus sp. RNAcentral's name for it is "signal recognition particle sRNA". It matches the Rfam family "Archaeal signal recognition particle RNA". Lineage: Archaea; Methanobacteriati; Methanobacteriota; Methanomicrobia; Methanomicrobiales; Methanomicrobiaceae. The record is from RNAcentral.